Molecule: ribosomal RNA, 391 nt
Filed under: uncultured bacterium
Lineage: Bacteria
Description: partial 16S ribosomal RNA
Rfam family: Bacterial small subunit ribosomal RNA
Source: RNAcentral
AUACGGAGGAUCCGAGCGUUAUCCGGAUUUAUUGGGUUUAAAGGGUGCGCAGGCGGGCAUUUAAGUCAGCGGUUAAAUCGUGGGGCUCAACCCCAUUCUGCCGUUGAUACUGGGUGGCUUGAUUGCGGUCGAGGUUGGCGGAAUUCGUUGUGUAGCGGUGAAAUGCAUAGAUAUGACGAAGAACACCGAUUGCGUAGGCAGCUGACCAGACCGCAAAUGACGCUCAUGCACGAAAGUGCGGGGAUCGAACAGGAUUAGAUACCCUGGUAGUCCGCACAGUAAACGAUGAAUACUUGUUUUCGGCGAUAUAAUGUCGGAGGCAAAGCGAAAGCGAUAAGUAUUCCACCUGGGGAGUACGCCGGCAACGGUGAAACUCAAAUGAAUUGACGGG